AGUGAACGCUGGCGGUAGGCCUAACACAUGCAAGUCGAACGGCAGCACAGUAAGAGCUUGCUCUUACGGGUGGCGAGUGGCGGACGGGUGAGGAAUACAUCGGAAUCUACUUUUUCGUGGGGGAUAACGUAGGGAAACUUACGCUAAUACCGCAUACGACCUACGGGUGAAAGCAGUGGAUCUUCUGACCUUGCGCGAUUGAAUGAGCCGAUGUUGGAUUAGCUAGUUGGCGGGGUAAAGGCCCACCAAGGCGACGAUCCGUAGCUGGUCUGGGAGGAUGAUCAGCCACACUGGAACUGAGACACGGUCCAGACUCCUACGGGAGGCAGCAGUGGGGAAUAUUGGACAAUGGGCGCAAGCCUGAUCCAGCCAUACCGCGUGUGUGACGAAGGCCUUCGGGUUGUAAAGCCCUUUUGUUGGGAAAGAAAAGCAGCAGGUUAAUACCCCGCUGUUCUGACGGUACCCAAAGAAUAAGCACCGGCUAACUUCGUG
RNAcentral lists this ribosomal RNA (492 nucleotides) under uncultured bacterium. Its description in RNAcentral is "partial 16S ribosomal RNA". It matches the Rfam family "Bacterial small subunit ribosomal RNA", at positions 29 to 507 of the family's 1533-position model. The record is from RNAcentral.